UAGCAUAUCAAUAAGCGGAGGAAAAGAAACCAACAGGGAUUGCCUCAGUAACGGCGAGUGAAGCGGCAAGAGCUCAAAUUUUAAAUCCGGCGUUUGCAACGUCCCGAGUUGUAAUUUGGAGAGGCAUCUUCGGGGACAGCGUCAGACCAAGUUCCUUGGAACAGGACGUCGCAGAGGGUGAGAAUCCCGUGACCGUCUGGCAGUCUGAUCCCUUGUGAAGUGCCUUCUACGAGUCGAGUUGUUUGGGAAUGCAGCUCCAAGUGGGUGGUAAAUUUCAUCUAAAGCUAAAUAUGGGCGAGAGACCGAUAGCGCACAAGUAGAGUGAUCGAAAGAUGAAAAGCACUUUGAAAAUAGAGUUAAAAAGUACGUGAAAUUGUUGAAAGGGAAGCGCUUGAGACCAGACCCGGCCCCAAACAAACAGCCUCCCCUGCUCCAGGGGGGUGCACUUGUAUUGAGGCUGGGCCAGCGUCGGUUGGGGUGGUGGGACAAAGGCGUAGGGAAUGUAGCUCCCCUCGAGGAGUGUUAUAGCCCUGCGCGUAAUGCCACCUACCUCGACUGAGGGCCGCGCCUCGGCGAGGAUGCUGGCACAAUGGUCUUCAGCGACCCGUCUUGAAACACGGACCAAGGAGUCUAACAUCCAUGCGAGUGUUUGGGUGUAAAGCCCUUGCGCGAAAUGAAAGUGAAUGCAGGUGGGACAACCCCUCUCAGGGGGCAUUGCACCAUCGACCGAUCCUGAUGUCCUCGGAUGGAUUUGAGUAGGAGCAUGGCUGUUGGGACCCGAAAGAUGGUGAACUAUGCCUGAAUAGGGUGAAGCCAGAGGAAACUCUGGUGGAGGCUCGCAGCGGUUCUGACGUGCAAAUCGAUCGUCAAAUUUGGGUAUAGGGGCGAAAGACUAAUCGAACCAUCUAGUAGCUGGUUCCUGCCGA
Molecule: ribosomal RNA, 926 nt
Filed under: Balsamia lishanensis
Lineage: Eukaryota; Fungi; Ascomycota; Pezizomycetes; Pezizales; Helvellaceae
Description: Balsamia sp. YYX-2020a partial large subunit ribosomal RNA
Rfam family: Eukaryotic large subunit ribosomal RNA
Source: RNAcentral